UAUCUUCUAACAAAAUAGAUUUAAUUACAAGAAUUAACUUGUAAAUAUUCGAAAGUUCCUAUGAAUAUGUCGACUAUGUCGAAGAACCAUAUGUAAUUCAAGAACAACUUGUGGGUAAGCUUCUUGAAUAUGAGAAACGUUAUUGAGAAACAUGAAAUACAUUAUGAAUUUGAACAUCACAAGGCAAAUUUUGAUUUGCACUCCAGCUUCUCUCUGGAUUUCAUCCGGUCCACAUUCUUCAGGGAAACAAUUCAUGUCAUAGCUUAUGAAUUUCACGCUCGGUCUAUCAUGGAUCCAAAAGUAAGAACCAAGCAAUACUCAAAGUGAGUUUUGCAUCGGUGGCAGGGAUAGUUUUGUGCAACAAAAGCUAUCUGUGUUAUGCUUCAAGUCCGGGAGAAGCUGAUCCUCAGACAGGUCUACAUAUUCAGUAUCUCCUCAAGAUUGUGGUGUUGAGAAGGU
This is a long non-coding RNA of Salvia splendens (bonfire salvia), 459 nucleotides long. RefSeq lists it as uncharacterized. NCBI's taxonomy places the organism in Eukaryota, Viridiplantae, Streptophyta, Magnoliopsida, Lamiales, Lamiaceae. The transcript is spliced from 4 exons. The record is from RefSeq and is a predicted model, not a curated record.